GGUUCAGGACGAACGCUGGCGGCGUGCUUAACACAUGCAAGUCGAACGGGGAGUAUGCGAGCGGAAGGCUUCGGCCGGAAGGUUGCAUAUUCGAGUGGCGGACGGGUGAGUAACGCGUGAACAAUCUGUCCCAGACAGGGGGAUAACACUUGGAAACAGGUGCUAAUACCGCAUAAGACCACGGAGUCGCAUGGCACUGGGGUAAAAGGAGCAAUCCGGUUUGGGGUGAGUUCGCGUCCGAUUAGCCAGUUGGUGAGGUAACGGCCCACCAAAGCGACGAUCGGUAGCCGACCUGAGAGGGUGAUCGGCCACAUUGGAACUGAGAGACGGUCCAAACUCCUACGGGAGGCAGCAGUGGGGAAUAUUGGGCAAUGGGCGAAAGCCCUGACCCAGCAACGCCGCGUGAGUGAAGAAGGCCUUCGGGUUGUAAAGCUCUGUUAUAGGGGACGAAGGAAGUGACGGUACCCUAUAAGGAAGCCCCGACUAACUACGUGCCAGCCGCAGC
This 505-nucleotide ribosomal RNA is filed under the name uncultured bacterium. RNAcentral describes it as "bacterial SSU rRNA". It matches the Rfam family "Bacterial small subunit ribosomal RNA", at positions 21 to 518 of the family's 1533-position model. The record is from RNAcentral.